Molecule: ribosomal RNA, 429 nt
Filed under: uncultured bacterium
Lineage: Bacteria
Description: bacterial SSU rRNA
Rfam family: Bacterial small subunit ribosomal RNA
Source: RNAcentral
UCGGGAAUUUUGGGCAAUGGGCGAAAGCCUGACCCAGCAACGCCGCGUGAAGGAUGAAGUAUUUCGGUAUGUAAACUUCGAAAGAAUAGGAAGAAUAAAUGACGGUACUAUUUAUAAGGUCCGGCUAACUACGUGCCAGCAGCCGCGGUAAUACGUAGGGACCAAGCGUUGUUCGGAUUUACUGGGCGUAAAGGGUGCGUAGGCGGAAGGAUAAGUUAGUUGUGAAAGGCCUGGGCUUAACCUAGGAACUGCAAUUAAGACCGUCCAUCUAGAGUUGAGUAGAGGGGAGCGGAAUUUCCGGUGUAGCGGUGAAAUGCGUAGAUAUCGGAAGGAACAUCAGUUGCGAAGGCGGCUCUCUGGACUCAAACUGACGCUGAGGCACGAAAGCGUGGGUAGCGAACAGGAUUAGAUACCCACGUAGUCCCUGAG